This 424-nucleotide ribosomal RNA is filed under the name uncultured bacterium. RNAcentral describes it as "bacterial SSU rRNA". It matches the Rfam family "Bacterial small subunit ribosomal RNA", at positions 355 to 772 of the family's 1533-position model. The record is from RNAcentral.
UGGGGAAUAUUGGACAAUGGGCGAAAGCCUGACGCAGCGACGCCGCGUGAGCGAUGAAGGCCUUCGGGUCGUAAAGCUCUGUGGGGCGGGACGAAUAAGGCUUGGCUAACAUCCAAGUCGAUGACGGUACCGCCUUAGCAAGCACCGGCUAACUCUGUGCCAGCAGCCGCGGUAAGACAGAGGGUGCAAACGUUGUUCGGAAUUACUGGGCGUAAAGCGCGUGUAGGCGGCCUCGCAAGUCGGGCGUGAAAUCCUACGGCUCAACCGUGGAAGUGCACUCGAAACUGCGAAGCUGGAGUCCUGGAGAGGAAGGUGGAAUGCUUGGUGUAGAGGUGAAAUUCGUAGAUAUCAAGCGGAACACCGGUGGCGAAGGCGACCUUCUGGACAGUGACUGACGCUGAGACGCGAAAGCGUGGGGAGCAAA